CUAAGAAUCUUCCGCAAUGGGCGAAAGCCUGACGGAGCGACGCCGCGUGGACGAAGAAGGCCGGAAGGUUGUAAAGUCCUUUUGCAGAUGAAGAAUAAGGUGGUGAGGGAAUGCGCCACUGAUGACGUUAGUCUGUGAAUAAGCCCCGGCUAAUUACGUGCCAGCAGCCGCGGUAACACGUAAGGGGCGAGCGUUGUUCGGAAUUAUUGGGCGUAAAGGGCGUGUAGGCGGUCGUGCAAGCCUGGUGUGUAAGGCUACGGCUUAACCGUAGGAUUGCGCUGGGAACUGCAUGGCUAGAGUCCGGAAAGGGGAGGUAGAAUUCCUGGUGUAGGGGUGAAAUCUGUAGAUAUCAGGAAGAAUACCGGUGGCGAAGGCGACCUCCUGGUCUUGGACUGACGCUGAGGCGCGAAAGCGUGGGGAGCGAACA
RNAcentral lists this ribosomal RNA (427 nucleotides) under uncultured bacterium. RNAcentral describes it as "bacterial SSU rRNA". It matches the Rfam family "Bacterial small subunit ribosomal RNA", at positions 355 to 774 of the family's 1533-position model. The record is from RNAcentral.